GACGAACGCUGGCGGCGUGCUUAACACAUGCAAGUCGAACGGAAAGGCCCUGCUUUUGUGGGGUGCUCGAGUGGCGAACGGGUGAGUAACACGUGAGUAACCUGCCCUUGACUUUGGGAUAACUUCAGGAAACUGGGGCUAAUACCGGAUAGGAGCUCCUGCUGCAUGGUGGGGGUUGGAAAGUUUCGGCGGUUGGGGAUGGACUCGCGGCUUAUCAGCUUGUUGGUGGGGUAGUGGCUUACCAAGGCUUUGACGGGUAGCCGGCCUGAGAGGGUGACCGGCCACAUUGGGGCUGAGAUACGGCCCAGACUCCUACGGGAGGCAGCAGUGGGGAAUAUUGCACAAUGGGCGGAAGCCUGAUGCAACAACGCCGCGUGCGGGAUGACGGCCUUCGGGUUGUAAACCGCUUUCGCCUGUGACGAAGCGUGAGUGACGGUAAUGGGUAAAGAAGCACCGGCUAACUACGUGCCAGCAGCCGCGGUGAUACGUAGGGUGCGAGCGUUGUCCGGAUUUAUUGGGCGUAAAGGGCUCGUAGGUGGUUGAUCGCGUCGGAAGUGUAAUCUUGGGGCUUAACCCUGAGCGUGCUUUCGAUACGGGUUGACUUGAGGAAGGUAGGGGAGAAUGGAAUUCCUGGUGGAGCGGUGGAAUGCGCAGAUAUCAGGAGGAACACCAGUGGCGAAGGCGGUUCUCUGGGCCUUUCCUGACGCUGAGGAGCGAAAGCGUGGGGAGCGAACAGGCUUAGAUACCCUGGUAGUCCACGCUGUAAACGGUGGGUACUAGGUGUGGGGUCCAUUCCACGGGUUCCGUGCCGUAGCUAACGCUUUAAGUACCCCGCCUGGGGAGUACGGCCGCAAGGCUAAAACUCAAAGGAAUUGACGGGGCCCCGCACAAGCGGCGGAGCAUGCGGAUUAAUUCGAUGCAACGCGUAGAACCUUACCUGGGUUUGACAUGGAUCGGGAGUGCUCAGAGAUGGGUGUGCCUCUUUUGGGGUCGGUUCACAGGUGGUGCAUGCCUGUCGUCAGCUCGUGUCGUGAGAUGUUGGGUUAAGUCCCGCAACGAGCGCAACCCUUGUUCACUGUUGCCAGCACGUUAUGGUGGGGACUCAGUGGAGACCGCCGGGGUCAACUCGGAGGAAGGUGGGGAUGACGUCAAGUCCUCAUGCCCCUUAUGUCCAGGGCUUCACGCAUGCUACAAUGGCUGGUACAGAGAGUGGCGAGCCUGUGAGGGUGAGCGAAUCUCGGAAAGCCGGUCUCAGUUCGGAUUGGGGUCUGCAACUCGACCUCAUGAAGUCGGAGUCGCUAGUAAUCGCAAAUCAGCAACGCUGCGGUGAAUACGUUCCCGGG
RNAcentral lists this ribosomal RNA (1343 nucleotides) under uncultured bacterium. RNAcentral describes it as "16S ribosomal RNA". It matches the Rfam family "Bacterial small subunit ribosomal RNA", at positions 28 to 1378 of the family's 1533-position model. The record is from RNAcentral.